GCGUUGGUGGUUUAGUGGUAAAAUUGAUCGUUGCCAUCAGGAUCCGCAGUUUCAAUACCAAGAAGCUCAAAAUCCCGAUCUCGAUCAGCCCCGGGUUCGAUUCCCGGCCGACGCA
Molecule: non-coding RNA, 115 nt
Organism: Phyllosticta capitalensis
Lineage: Eukaryota; Fungi; Ascomycota; Dothideomycetes; Botryosphaeriales; Phyllostictaceae
Source: the annotation of a GenBank genome assembly